GACGAACGCUGGCGGCGUGCUUAACACAUGCAAGUCGUACGGUAAGGCCCUUUCGGGGGUACACGAGUGGCGAACGGGUGAGUAACACGUGCGUAACCUGCCCACAACUUUGGGAUAACGCUAGGAAACUGGUGCUAAUACUGGAUAUGUGCUCCUGCUGCAUGGUGGGGGUUGGAAAGCUCCGGCGGUUGUGGAUGGACUCGCGGCCUAUCAGCUUGUUGGUGGGGUAGUGGCCUACCAAGGCGGCGACGGGUAGCCGGCCUGGGGGGGUGACCGGCCACAUUGGGACUGAGAGACGGCCCAAGCUCCUACGGGAGGCAACAGGGGGGAAUAUUGCACAAGGGGCGCAAGGCUGAUGCAGCAACGCCGCGUGCGGGAAGACGGCCUUCGGGUUGUAAACCGCUUUCAGCAGGGACGAAGCUUUUUGUGACGGUACCUGCAGAAGAAGCACCGGCUAACUACGUG
RNAcentral lists this ribosomal RNA (465 nucleotides) under uncultured bacterium. RNAcentral describes it as "partial 16S ribosomal RNA". It matches the Rfam family "Bacterial small subunit ribosomal RNA", at positions 28 to 507 of the family's 1533-position model. The record is from RNAcentral.